RNAcentral lists this ribosomal RNA (619 nucleotides) under Bacillus cereus. RNAcentral's name for it is "bacterial SSU rRNA". It matches the Rfam family "Bacterial small subunit ribosomal RNA", at positions 50 to 652 of the family's 1533-position model. Lineage: Bacteria; Bacillati; Bacillota; Bacilli; Caryophanales; Bacillaceae. The record is from RNAcentral.
UAUACAUGCAGUCGAGCGAAUGGAUUAAGAGCUUGCUCUUAUGAAGUUAGCGGCGGACGGGUGAGUAACACGUGGGUAACCUGCCCAUAAGACUGGGAUAACUCCGGGAAACCGGGGCUAAUACCGGAUAACAUUUUGAACCGCAUGGUUCGAAAUUGAAAGGCGGCUUCGGCUGUCACUUAUGGAUGGACCCGCGUCGCAUUAGCUAGUUGGUGAGGUAACGGCUCACCAAGGCAACGAUGCGUAGCCGACCUGAGAGGGUGAUCGGCCACACUGGGACUGAGACACGGCCCAGACUCCUACGGGAGGCAGCAGUAGGGAAUCUUCCGCAAUGGACGAAAGUCUGACGGAGCAACGCCGCGUGAGUGAUGAAGGCUUUCGGGUCGUAAAACUCUGUUGUUAGGGAAGAACAAGUGCUAGUUGAAUAAGCUGGCACCUUGACGGUACCUAACCAGAAAGCCACGGCUAACUACGUGCCAGCAGCCGCGGUAAUACGUAGGUGGCAAGCGUUAUCCGGAAUUAUUGGGCGUAAAGCGCGCGCAGGUGGUUUCUUAAGUCUGAUGUGAAAGCCCACGGCUCGACCGUGGAGACUUUUGUAAACUUCAGACUUGUGAGCAGA